RNAcentral lists this small RNA (357 nucleotides) under Cryptococcus neoformans H99. RNAcentral describes it as "Cryptococcus neoformans var. grubii H99 hypothetical RNA". Lineage: Eukaryota; Fungi; Basidiomycota; Tremellomycetes; Tremellales; Cryptococcaceae. The record is from RNAcentral.
CGUUAUUCAGACAAUCUUUUUUGAGUCAUUCCAACUCCCGCCUGACAUCAACCCUCCAGAUAGGGACCUCUGGAGAUGGAGAUAGGAAAUUACGAGUUGGUGGUACAUAGCUGCCAAGGAGAGCGGUGGCGUUCAGAUAGAUCUCGAGAAUUGUCCGUAACCAUGACUUUCCUUCAGGAAUGUGUUGGAGUAUAACAGGUAGAGUCCGCUUGGUGCGGGGAUAGCAAGCGUUCGAGAUGAUAGCUGAAGCUUGGACGGAACGCCUGGCGCUUUUUCGGAAAGAUGGCUUGUGGGGAUUAGCACCUGGCGUGGCGUUUUUUCCUUUUCGUCAAUGUACCGUAGAGGGAUAUCUACCAU